This 102-nucleotide small nuclear RNA is filed under the name Amborella trichopoda. The record is from RNAcentral. Lineage: Eukaryota; Viridiplantae; Streptophyta; Magnoliopsida; Amborellales; Amborellaceae.
GAGUUUUCGAAUACAUUCGAUAAAAUUAAAAUGGUACAAAGCAGAUUAGCUUGACACCUGCAAAAGGACCACACACAAGUCUAAAAAUAGUCCAAAUAUUUU